Long non-coding RNA from Uranotaenia lowii, 1139 nucleotides. RefSeq lists it as uncharacterized. The record is from RefSeq and is a predicted model, not a curated record. NCBI's taxonomy places the organism in Eukaryota, Metazoa, Arthropoda, Insecta, Diptera, Culicidae. The transcript is spliced from 3 exons.
ACGGAAGUUGCGUGGGAAAGGUUAUCUGAUUAUAAUCUAAAGUGAAACAUGGACGAUCCCCUUUUGAUUAUGACCAUCUUGUUUGCGCUAGUUUUGUGGUAUCCGUUGAAGUAUUUAAUGCGGAAGUUUUGCUUCUAGUAGGUAAUGAUCAAGAGGAAUCCCUGGAUGAUCUCAGAAAAGUUGAAAGAUUUUCAGUAAUUUUAAGAUCACUGACUGGCUGGCAGGCUGGCACGAGCACUAGGCGACUUCACCGGUUUCUCAAGAUGACCCACUUCAGGAAGGUCAACCACUCGAGCAUGACUCGAUCCGGAAACACCAAACCCAAAAACUGUACUCCUCAACUAUAAUAAAAACCGCGCAAUCCAGUCGCAAUUAAUACAAAAUACGGCAUGCAAAGCGCACACCUUGUCAAUUAACACCUUCAGUAGUAAUCCGAGCGUUGAUGUGCCUAUUCAUUAAAUCUCGACACGGGACCGGGGAAAACCACUCUAACUGGUAGCGAAACUUCAAUCCAUGAACGAUCCCAACAGAAUCAAACGAACAACUGAAAAGCGUCUACCUCUGCGUACUGGACUUAACUGCCUACGGAACAUGCUGAGUGCUACUUGAUCUUUCUUACCACAUAUCUUAAGGGUGCAAGAUCGAGUGAGCUCCCGGUCAGGUUCUCUCUUUCUCUGCCGUCUCUCAUUUCCUAAUCCUUCGCCCAUCGAUCCAUCUCUCAUUCUCUUCCUCCCAACGUGAGUUCCACCCAAAAACGCAAACACUCUCGCUCGCCUGCCGUUUUCCAUUCUUUAACCUGUGCGCGCAGCGCACCGAGAAAAACAGAACCAGCAAAGAGCCUUAGAACUUUAGCCGGUAACUCAUCCAUUUUUUAUGCUCUCACAAAUCCGAAGCAACAACUGUCGUCUCGCUCUUUCCUUCGAUCAGUCACCUUCCUUCUCUUAUUCCCAUCGCGAUCACCGUUCAGAACCGUUCUUCCUCCUCCGCACAACGCCGGUGGACAUCUUCCUUCCGCAGCUAACUAGCUAACUAGCUGGAUUCAACCAAAAGGGUUCCAACCACCAAUCGAGCAGGGUUCCAUUUGGACCUCUCAUCUCAACGACACGAGGCGCGUGUAUGUCUGCGUUCGAUCGAUCCAC